RNAcentral lists this ribosomal RNA (914 nucleotides) under uncultured euryarchaeote. Its description in RNAcentral is "bacterial SSU rRNA". It matches the Rfam family "Archaeal small subunit ribosomal RNA", at positions 367 to 1287 of the family's 1478-position model. Lineage: Archaea; Methanobacteriati; Methanobacteriota. The record is from RNAcentral.
GCGUGACCGGGGACUUAAGUGCUUAUGCUCUGCAUAGCGCUUUUGCUAAGGGCGAAUACCUUGGCGAAUAAGUGGUGGGUAAGACUGGUGCCAGCAGCCGCGGUAACCCCAGCGCCACAAGUGGGGAUCGGUUUUAUUGGGUCUAAAGCAUUCGUAGCUGGUUGAAAAAGUCUCUUGUGAAAUCGAGAAGCUUAACUUAUCGGAAUGCAGGAGAUACUUUUCAACUCGGAACUGGGAGGGGUAAGAGGAAUUUUGGGGGAAGCGGUAAAAUGCAAUAAUCCCCAAAAGACCACCGAUGGCGAAGGCAUCUUACCAGAACAGAUUCGACAGUCAGGAAUGAAAGCUAGGGGAGCAAACCGGAUUAGAUACCCGAGUAGUCCUAGCCGUAAACUCUGCAAGUUAGGUGUUGCAUAUUCUUAGGGAAUAUGCAGUAUCGUAGUGAAGACGUUAAACUUGCCACCUGGGAAGUAUGGUCGCAAGACUGAAACUUAAAGGAAUUGGCGGGGGAGCACUACAAGGGGUGCGGCGUGCGGUUUAAUCCAACUCAACGCGGAGAAUCUCACCAGAAGCGACGGCAGUAUGAAGGACAAGCUAAAGACUUUUCUUGACGAGCCGAGAGGUAGUGCAUGGCCGCCGUCAGCUCGUUCCGUGAGGUGUCCUGUUAAGUCAGGUAACGAGCAAGACCUGUACCUACAAUUGCCAGCGGGUAAUUUUUUACGACCGGGCUAUUGUAGGACUGCUUGGAAACAAGGAGGAAGGUGCAGGCACGGUAGGUCUGUAUGCUCCGAAUCUUCUGGCUACACGCGCGCCACCAUGGUAACGACCAGGAACCAACUCCGGAAGGAGGAGCUUAACCUCGGACCUGCCAUCAAUUACGUUAACCAACUCACGCGUCCGAAUCGGUCUACCCGAUG